RNAcentral lists this ribosomal RNA (524 nucleotides) under uncultured bacterium. RNAcentral's name for it is "partial 16S ribosomal RNA". It matches the Rfam family "Bacterial small subunit ribosomal RNA", at positions 28 to 523 of the family's 1533-position model. The record is from RNAcentral.
GACGAACGCUGGCGGCGUGCCUAAUACAUGCAAGUCGAGCGCAGGAAAUCGACGGAACCCUUCGGGGGGAAGUCGACGGAAUGAGCGGCGGACGGGUGAGUAACACGUAAAGAACCUGCCCUCAGGUCUGGGAUAACCACGAGAAAUCGGGGCUAAUACCGGAUGGGUCAUCGGACCGCAUGGUCCGAGGAUGAAAGGCGCUUCGGCGUCGCCUGGGGAUGGCUUUGCGGUGCAUUAGCUAGUUGGUGGGGUAAUGGCCCACCAAGGCGACGAUGCAUAGCCGACCUGAGCGGGUGAUCGGCCACACUGGGACUGGGACACGGCCCAGACUCCUACGGGAGGCAGCAGUAGGGAAUCUUCCACAAUGGACGAAAGUCUGAUGGAGCAACGCCGCGUGAACGAUGAAGGCCUGCGGGUCGUAAAGUUCUGUUGUAAGGGAAGAACAAGUGCCGCAGGCAAUGGCGGCACCUUGACGGUACCUUGCGAGAAAGCCACGGCUAACUACGUGCCAGCAGCCGCAGUAA